Molecule: long non-coding RNA, 1129 nt
Filed under: Taeniopygia guttata (zebra finch)
Lineage: Eukaryota; Metazoa; Chordata; Aves; Passeriformes; Estrildidae
Description: lncRNA (ENSTGUG00000020433.1)
Source: RNAcentral
GGAUCCUAGCCGAAUUCCACUUCUUUGUCCUUCCCUACAGUCAGGCAGAGCUCUAGGCACACAAAGGAGAAGGAUGAGGGAAAUGUGCUCCCAGCACACCUCGCCAGAAUGGCCUGUCACUCCUUCCCUGUGUCCCUUUCACCCCUUGCCACUGUCCCCCAGAUGUUAUUUAUCCCUGUGAUCAUUGGGUUCCCUAGGUGUCCCAUGCAGACUUGGUGGAGCAGAGCACAUGUGGAUUUUCUUCAGAGCAGAAACACCUGAGGGCACAGUGGAGAGGCUGCAGUGGCCUGGGUCUCCUCAGCCUGUGAGCAGAGCAGCACAGAGGAGUCCCUGGCAGAGCAGGAGUGAAUGAAUUUGCACUGUACAGCUGCUUUCCAGACCCCAGUGCUCUCACUGCCUGAAUCCCAGCGGCAGCCUCCAGACCCCACUGGAGGACAAGCUCAGUCCUGCCAGGAAAGCAAAUCUCCUUGGAGAGGCCAAUCCUCAGGGCAGAGGGGGCAAUGACACAGAUGCUCUCUGUCAUUCCCCAGGGCUCCCAGCCAGCCAAUGCCUUCUCUCACUUCUUGGCCAGCCCCACCCCGAGAUGUCUCACACUCACCCACUGCUCCCUCUCCACAUGUCUUUGGGCAGCUACCAGGGGCAGGUUGCUGUGAGGGUAGGGGCAUUUCCUUCCAUGGUUCCCUGCUGGUACUUUGUGGCCAUGCUGGCCCCUCUGGUGUUAGCCCUGGAACGGUCUCCAGACAUGGUGAUAAAAGAAGGCCAGUCCAUGAAUCUGGAAUGUUCCAAGAAGAAAUACGCCAGCACAGCUAUGUAUUGGUUUGUGCUGCCUUCAGAGAAGAAUUCCAGUCUGACCCUACUGGCUUCUGCAGUACAAGGUGGUAACCCAGUGGUGGAGAAGGGUUUUGAGAGCCAUUUCAAGAGCAGCAAGAUAAAAGGAGACAGUAUCACCCUCUCAAUAGAACAUACCUUUCUCAAUGACUCUGGCACGUACUACUGUGCUGAGGGCGAGCACAGUGCUGAAUCUGCUGAGGGAGCUGAGCACAAACCUCUCCCUGCACAUACAGGACCUGCUUUCCACCUUGUGGUUGCUGCAGGAGGCUUCUCACUCAUUAGCUUCUGUGCUUCCUAG